UUGAAGAGUUUGAUCAUGGCUCAGAUUGAACGCUGGCGGCAGGCCUAACACAUGCAAGUCGAGCGGUAGCACAGAGAGCUUGCUCUCGGGUGACGAGCGGCGGACGGGUGAGUAAUGUCUGGGAAACUGCCUGAUGGAGGGGGAUAACUACUGGAAACGGUAGCUAAUACCGCAUAACGUCGCAAGACCAAAGUGGGGGACCUUCGGGCCUCAUGCCAUCAGAUGUGCCCAGAUGGGAUUAGCUAGUAGGUGGGGUAACGGCUCACCUAGGCGACGAUCCCUAGCUGGUCUGAGAGGAUGACCAGCCACACUGGAACUGAGACACGGUCCAGACUCCUACGGGAGGCAGCAGUGGGGAAUAUUGCACAAUGGGCGCAAGCCUGAUGCAGCCAUGCCGCGUGUAUGAAGAAGGCCUUCGGGUUGUAAAGUACUUUCAGCGGGGAGGAAGGCGAUAAGGUUAAUAACCUUGUCGAUUGACGUUACCCGCAGAAGAAGCACCGGCUAACUCCGUGCCAGCAGCCGCGGUAAUACGGAGGGUGCAAGCGUUAAUCGGAAUUACUGGGCGUAAAGCGCACGCAGGCGGUCUGUCAAGUCGGAUGUGAAAUCCCCGGGCUCAACCUGGGAACUGCAUUCGAAACUGGCAGGCUAGAGUCUUGUAGAGGGGGGUAGAAUUCCAGGUGUAGCGGUGAAAUGCGUAGAGAUCUGGAGGAAUACCGGUGGCGAAGGCGGCCCCCUGGACAAAGACUGACGCUCAGGUGCGAAAGCGUGGGGAGCAAACAGGAUUAGAUACCCUGGUAGUCCACGCCGUAAACGAUGUCGAUUUGGAGGUUGUGCCCUUGAGGCGUGGCUUCCGGAGCUAACGCGUUAAAUCGACCGCCUGGGGAGUACGGCCGCAAGGUUAAAACUCAAAUGAAUUGACGGGGGCCCGCACAAGCGGUGGAGCAUGUGGUUUAAUUCGAUGCAACGCGAAGAACCUUACCUGGUCUUGACAUCCACAGAACUUAGCAGAGAUGCUUUGGUGCCUUCGGGAACUGUGAGACAGGUGCUGCAUGGCUGUCGUCAGCUCGUGUUGUGAAAUGUUGGGUUAAGUCCCGCAACGAGCGCAACCCUUAUCCUUUGUUGCCAGCGGUCCGGCCGGGAACUCAAAGGAGACUGCCAGUGAUAAACUGGAGGAAGGUGGGGAUGACGUCAAGUCAUCAUGGCCCUUACGACCAGGGCUACACACGUGCUACAAUGGCAUAUACAAAGAGAAGCGACCUCGCGAGAGCAAGCGGACCUCAUAAAGUAUGUCGUAGUCCGGAUUGGAGUCUGCAACUCGACUCCAUGAAGUCGGAAUCGCUAGUAAUCGUAGAUCAGAAUGCUACGGUGAAUACGUUCCCGGGCCUUGUACACACCGCCCGUCACACCAUGGGAGUGGGUUGCAAAAGAAGUAGGUAGCUUAACCUUCGGGAGGGCGCUUACCACUUUGUGAUUCAUGACUGGGGUGAAGUCGUAACAAGGUAACCGUAGGGGAACCUGCGGUUGGAUCACCUCCUU
RNAcentral lists this ribosomal RNA (1536 nucleotides) under Klebsiella quasipneumoniae subsp. similipneumoniae. RNAcentral's name for it is "bacterial SSU rRNA". It matches the Rfam family "Bacterial small subunit ribosomal RNA". The record is from RNAcentral. RNAcentral also lists the same sequence under 1 other name. Lineage: Bacteria; Pseudomonadati; Pseudomonadota; Gammaproteobacteria; Enterobacterales; Enterobacteriaceae.